GUGGGGAAUAUUGGACAAUGGGCGAAAGCCUGAUCCAGCCAUGCCGCGUGUGUGAAGAAGGUCUUCGGAUUGUAAAGCACUUUAAGUUGGGAGGAAGGGCAGUAAGUUAAUACCUUGCUGUUUUGACGUUACCAACAGAAUAAGCACCGGCUAACUUCGUGCCAGCAGCCGCGGUAAUACGAAGGGUGCAAGCGUUAAUCGGAAUUACUGGGCGUAAAGCGCGCGUAGGUGGUUCAGCAAGUUGAAGGUGAAAUCCCCCGGCUCAACCUGGGAACUGCCUCAAAAACUACUGAGCUAGAGUACGGUAGAGGGUAGUGGAAUUUCCUGUGUAGCGGUGAAAUGCGUAGAUAUAGGAAGGAACACCGGUGGCGAAGGCGACUACCUGGACUGAUACUGACACUGAGGUGCGAAAGCGUGGGGAGCAAACAGGAUUAGAAACCCGGGUAGUCC
Molecule: ribosomal RNA, 450 nt
Filed under: uncultured bacterium
Lineage: Bacteria
Description: partial 16S ribosomal RNA
Rfam family: Bacterial small subunit ribosomal RNA
Source: RNAcentral